AUUGAACGCUGGCGGCAGGCCUAACACAUGCAAGUCGAGCGGAGGAAGUGAGCUUUCUCCUGGAUUCAGCGUCGGACGGGUGAGUAAUGCCUAGGAAUCUGCCGUGUAGUGGGGUAUAACGUCCGGAAACGGGCGCUAAUACCGCAUACGUCCUGAGUGGGAAACUGGGGGAUCUUCUGACCUCACUCUAUCAGAUGAGCCUAGGUCGGAUUAGCUAGUUGGUGGGGUAAAGGCCUACCAAGGCGACGAUCCGUAACUGGUCUGAGAGGAUGAUCAGUCACACUGGAACUGAGACACGGUCCAGACUCCUAAGGGAGGCAGCAGUGGGGAAUAUUGGACAAUGGGCGAAAGCCUGAUCCAGCCAUGCAGCGUGUGUGAAGAAGGUCUUCGGAUUGUAAAGCCCUUUAAGUUGGGAGGAAGGGCAGUAAGCUAAUACCUUGCUGUUUUGACGUUACCAACAGAAUAAGCACCGGCUAACUUCGUG
This 484-nucleotide ribosomal RNA is filed under the name uncultured bacterium. RNAcentral describes it as "partial 16S ribosomal RNA". It matches the Rfam family "Bacterial small subunit ribosomal RNA", at positions 30 to 507 of the family's 1533-position model. The record is from RNAcentral.